UAAAGUGCUGACAGUGCAGAUAGUGGUCCUC
This 31-nucleotide non-coding RNA is filed under the name Callithrix jacchus (white-tufted-ear marmoset). The record is from RNAcentral. Lineage: Eukaryota; Metazoa; Chordata; Mammalia; Primates; Cebidae. RNAcentral also lists the same sequence under 2 other names.